Molecule: ribosomal RNA, 253 nt
Filed under: uncultured bacterium
Lineage: Bacteria
Description: partial 16S ribosomal RNA
Rfam family: Bacterial small subunit ribosomal RNA
Source: RNAcentral
UACGAAGGGGGCUAGCGUUGUUCGGAAUUACUGGGCGUAAAGCGCACGUAGGCGGACUACUAAGUCAGGGGUGAAAUCCCGGGGCUCAACCCCGGAACUGCCUUUGAUACUGAUAGUCUCGAGUCCGGAAGAGCUGAGUGGAAUUCCGAGUGUAGAGGUGAAAUUCGUAGAUAUUCGGAGGAACACCAGUGGCGAAGGCGGCUCACUGGUCCGGUACUGACGCUGAGGUGCGAAAGCGUGGGGAGCAAACAGG